UCCAAAACUCAGAUUUCAUAAAACAUACAAAUUCCUAAAUUUGAGCUACUAACAUGAUAACCAAAAUAAAAACUAUAUGCUGACAACUCUACGACUUAGGAGGAAAUCCGACGAUUUCGGUAAACAUCAAUCCACCUCGAACGCUCGUCCAACUUCGGCUAGAAGUCGAUAGGAGAAACCUCACGCCAGCUCGACCUCCAACGGCCUCAACCGGACUCAACCACGGCACA
RNAcentral lists this long non-coding RNA (230 nucleotides) under Ananas comosus (pineapple). RNAcentral's name for it is "long non-coding RNA (ACOM_LNC028931)". Lineage: Eukaryota; Viridiplantae; Streptophyta; Magnoliopsida; Poales; Bromeliaceae. The record is from RNAcentral.